AUGAGAUCCUUCUGUGUCGACCCACUGAGUAGCUGGGAUUGCAGGUGUGAACCACUGUGCCUGCCUACCUCCAAGCUCUCUUUGGAUCUAAAGAAUACCUUUAUGUCUGGGCAUGGCUUGCUCCGUGUGUCUGUGAGGCAGGUGAAGAGAGGUCAGGAACCACCGAGGAUGGUGAUGACUAUUCCUAUUUUGCAGUGCUAUGCAUUGAAUCCAGGGAUUCAAUUCUGCAGUGCAAAAAAGGAAGAGCUUCCCACAUGCGAACCUCAUUAAGAAGAAGGGUUUCCUCUGUCCUGCAACACCAGAAGAUAGACUGAUGAAUCAUGGGCAGAGACUCUGGGAAUGUGAGUGUUGUCCCACAGUACAAAGGGAACCUCAGAAAAUGGCAAAUCACCAUGGCAGGAGGUGGCGUAGAGGAGACUGGAUGAUGCGUAUGGGAUUCCCAUCCAGAUGAGCAAGGGUCCCUCUACAGCCCCUUCUACUUGUCCAACCCCAAACUCCAGGACAGGGAAGGGACCCAGCUGGUCCAGAAAUUUAGAAGACAAG
RNAcentral lists this long non-coding RNA (543 nucleotides) under Fukomys damarensis (Damara mole-rat). RNAcentral describes it as "lncRNA (ENSFDAG00000023094.1)". Lineage: Eukaryota; Metazoa; Chordata; Mammalia; Rodentia; Bathyergidae. The record is from RNAcentral.